AGUGAACGCUGGCGGUAGGCCUAACACAUGCAAGUCGAACGGCAGCACAGUAAGAGCUUGCUCUUACGGGUGGCGAGUGGCGGACGGGUGAGGAAUACAUCGGAAUCUACUUUUUCGUGGGGGAUAACGUGGGGAAACUUCCGCUAAUACCGCAUACGACCUACGGGUGAAAGCAGGGGAUCUUCGGACCUUGCGCGAUUGAAUGAGCCGAUGUCGGAUUAGCUAGUUGGCGGCGUAAAGGCCCACCAAGGCGACGAUCCGUAGCUGGUCUGAGAGGGUGAUCAGCCACACUGGAACUGAGACACGGUCCCGACUCCUACGGGAGGCAGCAGUGGGGAAUAUUGCACAAUGGGCGCAAGCCUGAUCCAGCCAUACCGCGUGGGUGAAGAAGGCCUUCGGGUUGUAAAGCCCUUUUGUUGGGAAAGAAAAGCAGCAGGUUAAUCCCCCGCUGUUCUGACGGUACCCAAAGAAUAAGCACCGGCUAACUUCGUG
Molecule: ribosomal RNA, 492 nt
Filed under: uncultured bacterium
Lineage: Bacteria
Description: partial 16S ribosomal RNA
Rfam family: Bacterial small subunit ribosomal RNA
Source: RNAcentral